CAAAGGUUUGGUCCUAGCCUUGAGAUCAAUUAUUACUUAAUAUACACAUGCAAGUCUCCGCACCCCUGUGAAAACGCCCUUAAAUCCCCAGUAGGGAUAAGGAGCUGGUAUCAGGCACGAAACUCUGCCCAAGACACCUAGCUAUGCCACACCCACAAGGGAACUCAGCAGUGAUUAACAUUGAAUAUAAGCGACAGCUUGACUCAGUUAAAGUAAAAAGAGCCGGCAAAUCUGGUGCCAGCCGCCGCGGUUACACCACGUGGCUCAAACUGAUCUCCAUCGGCGUAAAGCGUGCUUUAAGUCACACUAAAUUGAAGUUGAACUUAAACUAAGCUGUGACACGCUUGUUUUUAAGAAACUCAUAAACGAAAGUUACUUCAAUUAAAUCAACUUGAACUCACGACAGUUGGGGAACAAACUGGGAUUAGAUACCCCACUAUGCCUAACCGUAAACUUUAAUUUACACCUAUAUCGCCCGGGAACUACGAGCAAAGCUUAAAACCCAAAGGACUUGACGGUACCCCAAAUCCACCUAGAGGAGCCUGUCCUAUAAUCGAUAACCCCCGUUUAACCUCACCAUUUCUAGUUAAUCAGCCUGUAUACCUCCGUCGUCAGCUUACCACGUGAGCGAACAUAAGUGAGCUUAAUGCCCCUACACCAAUACGUCAGGUCAAGGUGCAGCAAAUGUAAUGGGAAGAGAUGGGCUACACUCUCUAAUAUAGAGAAUACGAAAGGCUACAUAUGAAAACUAGCCGGAAGGCGGAUUUAGAAGUAAAAAGAAACAAGAGUGUCCUUUUUAACUCGGCACUGGGGUGUGUACACACCGCCCGUCACCCUCUUCAAAGCUAACAAACAGUAUAUAACUAACUUAUGCAAUAUAGAAGAGGCAAGUCGUAACAUGGUAAGUAUACCGGAAGGUGUGCUUGGAAA
RNAcentral lists this non-coding RNA (930 nucleotides) under Pleurodema thaul (Chile four-eyed frog). Its description in RNAcentral is "12S ribosomal RNA". It matches the Rfam family "Bacterial small subunit ribosomal RNA". Lineage: Eukaryota; Metazoa; Chordata; Amphibia; Anura; Leptodactylidae. The record is from RNAcentral.